CUCGGAUAUAUCGCGGUUAUCAUAACCAUGAAAAUUUAACUCGGUUAUUCUCAGUUAUUCUCGGUUUUUACAUGACGUCACAAAAGUUUACAGAAGAUGACAACAGAGGUCAGAAUAGUAGCCCUAAGGAAAAUGGCGGAAGUGACUGAUUUAAGUAUCAAUUCAAAGAAAAGGAAAAAGUAUAUAGAAUGGACAGAAAAUGAAACUUUAUGCCUUCUAAAUAUUUGGAAAGCAAACAUUUCCUCCCAAGAUCCUUUUCGCAGUAUCCCAGAAUCCUUUGCUCAAAACUCAGUUAUGCGUGGUUCAUGUGAACGGCUGACUAACGUUCCUGGUUUUAUUAACUGAGAAAGAAUAACCGAGUUCGAGUAUAACCGAGAUUCUCGGUUCGUGUGAACGGGGUAUAAGGGAUAUCCCGCCCGCGCAACCUGCGAUCAAAGGAAACGUUAAACUCCCAUUUUGUGUUUAUCGCCGACAACUUUC
RNAcentral lists this long non-coding RNA (480 nucleotides) under Androctonus crassicauda. The record is from RNAcentral. Lineage: Eukaryota; Metazoa; Arthropoda; Arachnida; Scorpiones; Buthidae.